AUUAGCGGUCAUAGUUGAAGGGAAACACCUGGACUCAUUCCGAACCCAGAAGUUAAGCCUUUAAACGAUUUGGUUUGCACUGGAUUUUUAUUUGGAGCAUCCAAGACGCUGCUAAUC
This 117-nucleotide ribosomal RNA is filed under the name Candidatus Diapherotrites archaeon CG10_big_fil_rev_8_21_14_0_10_31_34. Lineage: Archaea; Nanobdellati; Candidatus Iainarchaeota. The record is from RNAcentral.